Molecule: ribosomal RNA, 2922 nt
Filed under: Escherichia coli
Lineage: Bacteria; Pseudomonadati; Pseudomonadota; Gammaproteobacteria; Enterobacterales; Enterobacteriaceae
Description: 23S ribosomal RNA
Rfam family: Bacterial large subunit ribosomal RNA
Source: RNAcentral
GGGUUGUGAGGUUAAGCGACUAAGCGUACACGGUGGAUGCCCUGGCAGUCAGAGGCGAUGAAGGACGUGCUAAUCUGCGAUAAGCGUCGGUAAGGUGAUAUGAACCGUUAUAACCGGCGAUUUCCGAAUGGGGAAACCCAGUGUGUUUCGACACACUAUCAUUAACUGAAUCCAUAGGUUAAUGAGGCGAACCGGGGGAACUGAAACAUCUAAGUACCCCGAGGAAAAGAAAUCAACCGAGAUUCCCCCAGUAGCGGCGAGCGAACGGGGAGGAGCCCAGAGCCUGAAUCAGUGUGUGUGUUAGUGGAAGCGUCUGGAAAGGCGCGCGAUACAGGGUGACAGCCCCGUACACAAAAAUGCACAUGCUGUGAGCUCGAUGAGUAGGGCGGGACACGUGGUAUCCUGUCUGAAUAUGGGGGGACCAUCCUCCAAGGCUAAAUACUCCUGACUGACCGAUAGUGAACCAGUACCGUGAGGGAAAGGCGAAAAGAACCCCGGCGAGGGAGUGAAAAGAACCUGAAACCGUGUACGUACAAGCAGUGGGAGCCUCUUAAUGGGGUGACUGCGUACCUUUUGUAUAAUGGGUCAGCGACUUAUAUUCUGUAGCAAGGUUAACCGAAUAGGGGAGCCGAAGGGAAACCGAGUCUUAACUGGGCGUUAAGUUGCAGGGUAUAGACCCGAAACCCGGUGAUCUAGCCAUGGGCAGGUUGAAGGUUGGGUAACACUAACUGGAGGACCGAACCGACUAAUGUUGAAAAAUUAGCGGAUGACUUGUGGCUGGGGGUGAAAGGCCAAUCAAACCGGGAGAUAGCUGGUUCUCCCCGAAAGCUAUUUAGGUAGCGCCUCGUGAAUUCAUCUCCGGGGGUAGAGCACUGUUUCGGCAAGGGGGUCAUCCCGACUUACCAACCCGAUGCAAACUGCGAAUACCGGAGAAUGUUAUCACGGGAGACACACGGCGGGUGCUAACGUCCGUCGUGAAGAGGGAAACAACCCAGACCGCCAGCUAAGGUCCCAAAGUCAUGGUUAAGUGGGAAACGAUGUGGGAAGGCCCAGACAGCCAGGAUGUUGGCUUAGAAGCAGCCAUCAUUUAAAGAAAGCGUAAUAGCUCACUGGUCGAGUCGGCCUGCGCGGAAGAUGUAACGGGGCUAAACCAUGCACCGAAGCUGCGGCAGCGACGUUUAUGCGUUGUUGGGUAGGGGAGCGUUCUGUAAGCCUGCGAAGGUGUACUGUGAGGUAUGCUGGAGGUAUCAGAAGUGCGAAUGCUGACAUAAGUAACGAUAAAGCGGGUGAAAAGCCCGCUCGCCGGAAGACCAAGGGUUCCUGUCCAACGUUAAUCGGGGCAGGGUGAGUCGACCCCUAAGGCGAGGCCGAAAGGCGUAGUCGAUGGGAAACAGGUUAAUAUUCCUGUACUUGGUGUUACUGCGAAGGGGGGACGGAGAAGGCUAUGUUGGCCGGGCGACGGUUGUCCCGGUUUAAGCGUGUAGGCUGGUUUUCCAGGCAAAUCCGGAAAAUCAAGGCUGAGGCGUGAUGACGAGGCACUACGGUGCUGAAGCAACAAAUGCCCUGCUUCCAGGAAAAGCCUCUAAGCAUCAGGUAACAUCAAAUCGUACCCCAAACCGACACAGGUGGUCAGGUAGAGAAUACCAAGGCGCUUGAGAGAACUCGGGUGAAGGAACUAGGCAAAAUGGUGCCGUAACUUCGGGAGAAGGCACGCUGAUAUGUAGGUGAAGUCCCUCGCGGAUGGAGCUGAAAUCAGUCGAAGAUACCAGCUGGCUGCAACUGUUUAUUAAAAACACAGCACUGUGCAAACACGAAAGUGGACGUAUACGGUGUGACGCCUGCCCGGUGCCGGAAGGUUAAUUGAUGGGGUUAGCGGUAACGCGAAGCUCUUGAUCGAAGCCCCGGUAAACGGCGGCCGUAACUAUAACGGUCCUAAGGUAGCGAAAUUCCUUGUCGGGUAAGUUCCGACCUGCACGAAUGGCGUAAUGAUGGCGGGCUGUCUCCACCCGAGACUCAGUGAAAUUGAACUCGCUGUGAAGAUGCAGUGUACCCGCGGCAAGACGGAAAGACCCCGUGAACCUUUACUAUAGCUUGACACUGAACAUUGAGCCUUGAUGUGUAGGAUAGGUGGGAGGCUUUGAAGUGUGGACGCCAGUCUGCAUGGAGCCGACCUUGAAAUACCACCCUUUAAUGUUUGAUGUUCUAACGUUGGCCCCUACCGGGGUUGCGGACAGUGUCUGGUGGGUAGUUUGACUGGGGCGGUCUCCUCCUAAAGAGUAACGGAGGAGCACGAAGGUUGGCUAAUCCUGGUCGGACAUCAGGAGGUUAGUGCAAUGGCAUAAGCCAGCUUGACUGCGAGCGUGACGGCGCGAGCAGGUGCGAAAGCAGGUCAUAGUGAUCCGGUGGUUCUGAAUGGAAGGGCCAUCGCUCAACGGAUAAAAGGUACUCCGGGGAUAACAGGCUGAUACCGCCCAAGAGUUCAUAUCGACGGCGGUGUUUGGCACCUCGAUGUCGGCUCAUCACAUCCUGGGGCUGAAGUAGGUCCCAAGGGUAUGGCUGUUCGCCAUUUAAAGUGGUACGCGAGCUGGGUUUAGAACGUCGUGAGACAGUUCGGUCCCUAUCUGCCGUGGGCGCUGGAGAACUGAGGGGGGCUGCUCCUAGUACGAGAGGACCGGAGUGGACGCAUCACUGGUGUUCGGGUUGUCAUGCCAAUGGCACUGCCCGGUAGCUAAAUGCGGAAGAGAUAAGUGCUGAAAGCAUCUAAGCACGAAACUUGCCCCGAGAUGAGUUCUCCCUGACUCUUUAAGGGUCCUGAAGGAACGUUGAAGACGACGACGUUGAUAGGCCGGGUGUGUAAGCGCAGCGAUGCGUUGAGCUAACCGGUACUAAUGAACCGUGAGGCUUAACCUUACAACGCCGAAG